GUGCUCUCUUCAGCAGCACAUAUAUUGAAAUUGGAAUGAUACAGAGAAGAUUAGCAUGGCCCCUGUGCAAGGAUGACAUGCAAAUUCCAUAUUUUU
Molecule: small nuclear RNA, 96 nt
Filed under: Dasypus novemcinctus (nine-banded armadillo)
Lineage: Eukaryota; Metazoa; Chordata; Mammalia; Cingulata; Dasypodidae
Source: RNAcentral